This 374-nucleotide ribosomal RNA is filed under the name uncultured organism. Its description in RNAcentral is "partial 16S ribosomal RNA". It matches the Rfam family "Bacterial small subunit ribosomal RNA", at positions 527 to 896 of the family's 1533-position model. The record is from RNAcentral.
GUAGGUGGCAAGCGUUGUCCGGAAUUAUUGGGCGUAAAGCGCGCGCAGGUGGUUCUUUAAGUCUGAUGUGAAAGCCCCCGGCUCAACCGGGGAGGGUCAUUGGAAACUGGGGAACUUGAGUGCAGGAGAGGAAAGUGGAACUCCACGUGUAGCGGUGAAAUGCGUAGAUAUGUGGAGGAACACCAGUGGCGAAGGCGACUUUCUGGCCUGUAACUGACACUGAGGCGCGAAAGCGUGGGGAGCAAACAGGGAUUAGAUACCCUGGUAGUCCACGCCGUAAACGAUGAGUGCUAUGUGUUGGGGGGGUUUCCGCCCCCUCAGUGCUGCAGCUAACGCAUUAAGCACUCCGCCCUGGGAGUACGGUCGCAAGACUG